GCAAAGUCAACCAAUACUAUAGCUUAACAGCACAAAAAUUGUCUUGCCAACUCCUUCCAUGAGUUGUUAAUCUUAAAAAGAAUGGUCAUGAUGAUACAGAAAAAUUAAAAGAGACAUUCAAAACUUACAAGAGGAAGUGAAACUUAUGUCUUACAAAACAAAAAAACAACCAUAAGUCCACACACCACUAUUUAGAAAACUAAUUAUAAAAGACUGAACAACAGUAAACCACCAAAAACAAGAGGCGACAUGUUUAAUAGCAGAUUCACAAUCACGUAAAUAAGUAUUGUUGACCCUGAUUCCGCGCCAUAGCCACACAUAUACAUGUAUAUACUAUUUAAAAAGACUGUAACAGUUAAACAUAAACUUCAUAAUCAUCUAUUUAAGGGAGGGUAAAAAAAAUCUAAACUUUUUUUAUAUACUAAUUUAUAUAAAACUAUUAUUAUUUUUUCUUUCUUAGGUUUAUCAAAUAUGUUCUUUGGUGUAUGAUCAGAUCCUGUAUAUACUAUAGUAUAGAUCUAACAAGCUUUUAAAAGAAAAGAAAAUUAUGUUUUAGGUAAAUAUAAAUGAUGCAUACAUUGUAUAUAUAUAGGAUACAUUGAGUUAUUCAAAGACAAUUUCCAAACAUGUCUACAAAAUUUAUCAUUUACUAUAUAUAUAUUACUUUAAUGAUGUUUGCUUGUCAUGUUUUGUGAUUUUUGUCAGAUUAUCAGAAUCCUCAGGUUUUAUUCAUUUAUCGUCUUUAAAAAAUUCCCCCAAUUGACCCCCAUUUUUCUUUCUAUAAAUCUUUUAGAUGUAAAACUAUAUGCCAUCUGUCAUGUCUGGAAAAGUCUUAUAAAAUCUUUGUUAUUUUUUUAAUAGUUUUUAUACGACCGCAAAAAUUAAAAAAAAAUUUGGUCGUAUAUGGUAUGAUGUUGAUGUCGUCCGAAUACUUUUAGUUUUCGCACUCUAACUUUAGUAAAAGUGAAUAGAAAUCUAUGAAAUUUUAACACAAGGUUUAUGACCACAAAAGGAAGGUUGGGAUUGAUUCUGGGAGUUUGGUCCCAACAUUUUAGGAAUUAGGGGCCAAAAAGGGCCAAAAUAAGCAUGUUCUUGGUUUUCGCACUAUAACUUUAGUUUAAGUAAAUAAAAAUCGAUGAAAUUUUGACACAAGGUUUAUGACCACAAAAGGAAGGUUAGGAUUGAUUUUGGGAGUUGAGGUCUGAACAGUUUAGGAAUUAGCGGCCAAAAAGGGGCCCAAGUAAGCAUUAUUCUUGGUUUUCGCACCAUAACUUUAGUAUAAGUAAAUAGAAAUCUAUGAAAUUUAAACACAAGGUUUAUGACCACUUAAGGAAGUUGGGUCCCAACAGUUUAGGAAUAAGGGCCCAAAGGGUCCAAAAUUGAACUUUGUUUGAUUUCAUCAAAAAUUGAACAAUUGGGGUUCUUUGAUAUGCCGAAUCUAACUGUGUAUGUAGAUUCUUAAUUUUUGGUCCCGUUUUCAAAUUGGUCUACAUUAAGGUCCAAAGGGUCCAAAAUUAAACUUAGUUUGAUUUAACAAAAAUUGAAUUCUUGGGGUUCUUUGAUAUGCUGAAUCUAAAAAUGUACUUAGAUUUUUUAUUAUUGGCCCAGUUUUCAAGUUGGUCCAAAUCAGGGUCCAAAAUUAAACUUGUUUGAUUUCAUCAAAAAUUGAACAAUUGGGGUUCUUUGAUGUUGUCGAAUCUAACUGUGUAUGUAGAUUCUUAAUUUUUGGUCCCUUUUUCAAAUUGGUCUACAUUAAGGUCCAAAGGGUCCAAAAUUAAACUAAGUUUGAUUUAACAAAAAUUGAAUCCCUGGGGUUCUUUGAUAUGCUGAAUCUAAAAAUGUACUUAGAUUUUUGAUUAUUGACCCAGUUUUCAAGUUGUUCCAAAUCGGGGUCCAAAAUUAAACUUUGUUUGAUUUCAUAAAAAAUUGAAUAAUUGGGGUUCUUUGAUAUGCCAUAUCUAACUGUGUAUGUAGAUUUUUAAUGCUUAGUCCCGUUUUUUUGGUCUACAUUAAAGUCCAAAGGGUCCAAAAUUAAACUUAGUUUGAUUUUAAAAAUAUUUGAAUUCUUGGGCUUUUUUGAUAUGCUGAAUCUAAACAUGUACUUAGAUUUUUUGAUUAUGGGCCCAGUUUUCAAGUUGGUUCAAAUCAGGAUCCAAAAUUAUUACAUUAAGUAUUGUGCAAUAGCAAGAAAUUUUCAAUUACACAGUAUUCAGCAAUAGCAAGAAAUCUUUAAUUGCACAGUAUUGUGCAAUAGCAAGAAAUUUUCAAUUGCACAGUAUUGCGCAAUAGCAAGAAAUCUUCAAUUGCACAGUAUUGUGCAAUAGCAAAUAUUUUCAAUUGCACAGUAUUGCACAAUAGCAAGAAAUAUAGAAAUUUUCAAUUGAUUAUUGAUUAUUAUCUUUCUUUGUCCAGAAUAGUAGUUGAAUCAACUUCUUAAAUCAUUGUUUUAUACAAUAUACAAUGUAUAUUCACUUUUACUACCAACUGAUAAAUUAAAACAAUUUUUACCAUUCAGCAUUGUUCAGUGAUAACAAGCACCUUUUGUUACAUUUUAAUAUUUUAUGAUGUAUUUAAAUGAGUAGUUAUUGUUGCAAACUCCAUUAGAAAUUUGAAUUGAGAUCAGUUUUGGAAAAAGGGAAAGGGGGAUGUGAAAAAAAAAAAUAUGCGGAGCAUCUGGUUUAGAACUUAAAUUGACAUUGAUAAAGCUAUAAAAAAUCAAAGAGAGAACAUUUUCCUGCCAAAAUUUAAAUGGCUAAUAUCUGGAAAACACGCACAUUGGCCUAUAUAUUUUUUUUGUUUCUUUAUUAAUCACCUAUCGAUAUGCAUUCUAUGUACUAGUAUUAAGAAAAGCUUGAUAUUUUGAAACUGAGUAGGGAACUUCCAUAAAUUAAAAUAUAUUUGGUGUGUCAGAUGAUUUGCAUAUCUGUCUUUGUUCAUUGGUUAGUGUUAGUUUUCAUGGUAAUGUCUUUUUCCCAGAUACUAUAAUCAAUCUAUCAACUAUAUAUGUAGCUAGGAAUGAUUGCAUAGUGUAGGUGGUGUCUGCAGUGUUCAUUUGACCUAAACCUCAUUUUUAGCUCACCUGGCCUUGGCCAAGUGAGCUUUUCUCAUCACUUUGCAUCCGUCGUUGAUAACUUUUACAAAAAUCUUAACCUCUGAAACUACUGGGCAAAAUUAAAGCAAACUUGGCCACACUCAUCAUUGGGGUAUCUAGUUUCAAAAAUGUGUCUGGUGACCCAGCCAACCAACCAAGAUGGCCACCAUGGCUAAAAAAAAGAACAUAGGGGUAAAAUGUAGAUUUUGACUUAUAUCUCUGAAACCAAAGCAUUUAGAGCAUAAUUCAAGAUCUACCUGCCCUGAAAUGUUCAGAUGAGUAGAACAACCGGUUGUUGGGUUGCUGCCCCUGAAUUGGUAAUUUUAAGAAAUUUUGCAGAUUUUGGUUAUUAUCGUGAAUAUUAUUAUAGAUCGAGAUAAGCUGUAAACAGCAAUAAUGUACAGUAGAGUAAGACCUACACAUAGUUAAGGAAUGAAAUGGUCAAUUGACCCCUUAAGGAGUUAUUGCCCUUCAUAGUCAUUUUUUUAAAAUUUUCACAAUAUUUUUUUAACUACUGAGCCAAGUUCAUUAAUUUAUAGAUAGAUAUAAUUGUAAGCAGCAAGAAUGUUCAGUAUAGGUAGAUCUACACACACAUCACCAUCACCAAAACACAAUUUUGUCAUGAAUCCAUCUGUGUCCUUCAUUUAUGAUAUGCACAUAGACAAAGGUGAGCGACACAGUCUCUAGUUAUGAUACAUACUGAUAAGUCAAUGUACAGUUUUCUAACUUGUAUAAAAAUUAGAUUAUAUGUGGUACGAUUGCCACUGAGACAACUCACCACAAGAGACUGUACAGCCUUUAAGAAUGACCAAUGGUCAGUUACUCAGAUAUGAUAUUAGCAAUAGGCUAAUUUGGUGUAUUGCGUUACAUUAAUUCACUGAUACAUGUAUAUCAGACUUUUUAGUUUUGAGAUAAGUAAAGCAGACUUGUGUUUAUAAAAAGGACAUAUCUCCAUUCCUGACAAACAUCUACAUAUAUUCAUGCUGGGAUUUGAAUAAAAAUUAUGUUUCAGUAUACUUUGCUAUUCCAUUAAAAAAAAAUGAUUUCCCACGGUCCACCAAACUACAUUUUCUUUUGUUUUUACAUUACAGCUGCUGAAGAAAUCUUU
RNAcentral lists this long non-coding RNA (4199 nucleotides) under Mytilus galloprovincialis (Mediterranean mussel). The record is from RNAcentral. Lineage: Eukaryota; Metazoa; Mollusca; Bivalvia; Mytilida; Mytilidae.